Molecule: long non-coding RNA, 826 nt
Filed under: Parus major (Great Tit)
Lineage: Eukaryota; Metazoa; Chordata; Aves; Passeriformes; Paridae
Description: lncRNA (ENSPMJG00000009334.1)
Source: RNAcentral
UUAAAAAUUGCCAUUCCCAGAGCAUGAAAAUCCUGUGUAUCCGUGUGGGCUUUGAGUGCAAAGCAGAGCAAGAAAUGGGGCAAGAAACGAAAUGACAGCAGGAGGGGAUGUAUCUUCCUCCACUGCAUUGGCGUGCUGCCAGUCUUUUGGAAGUGCAAUUAUAUUAAGCAUGCUGGGCUGGCCACUAAGAUGAGUAAAACAGCUUGGGAGAAGAAAAGCCAGUCACCUGCUGAACCCUGGGGACCACCACACACCCUUCAGGUACCAUCAGUUACAUCCCUUCUGGUGUGAUGCAGCACUGGCCCUCACACCAGGGAGCUGUGGCCAUGUGGAAGCCACGACUGCUCAGAUGAAGGCCUCUGAUAAUUAUCCACCCUCCCACUUCCCUGCUGCAUGGACCAGAUAGCUGCAAGCCAAGGCCAUUACUCAGCGUAUCAUCAGGUUUUCCCCUCUGAAAAACCCACCGAAGACCAAGAACCCCAGUUCACACAAUGCUUUUGGCAUCAGUGGACUCCUCCUUACCACACAUCGAGCAACUCUGCAGCAGCAUGGCAGCUCUGCAUCCUGGCACAAUCAAGUGUGAAGGUGUAGGGACAUCAAGAAAAGCAAGCUGCAUGUUCCUCCCCCUUGGCUCGCCUCUCCUAGCACUGCGAGACACAGAAGUUGAAAGUUAAGCUUUUGAGUUACCAGCAAUUUCCACUUUGGUGCAUUAUUGCCUUUGCUGCAGUGCUUUUAUAAGGCUGUUUAUAAGACAAUAGACAAUGGGAGAAGUUGCUGGGGUUCCCAGUAGACAUAUGUUGACAAUAAACCCCUGUAACAGAGGUCA